GAGGGAAGGGGAGAGUGAAUCGCAUGUGAAUGAAUGCUCAUUUUCUCUCAGUUACCAGGACGACAAAAAUAGAUCAGCAAAAUCAGAUCAAGAGUCAUCAACGAAAAAGAUUUCUCUGAGUCAGACUUCUUCCCUGGAAGCUGUGAACUUUAUCCUCCAGCAGCCAUUAAUCUAAUAUUAAGCCCCUUAACCUUCCUAAUUGUUCUCUUUCAGCAUCGGCUGGUUUCAUAUUAACCUUUCAAUCUUUCCUAUAAUGCAGUCACCUCCAACUCCAGCCAGACCUGGUCCAGGUGCUCCUGUCGGCCCCGUCCUUUUCCUCUCCUGGCUGUGUGUCCCCCUUUCUACCAGCCUCUAUGCCCUUUCUUUCUUUCUUUUCUGUCUUCCUUUCUUUUUCCUCCUUUUCUUUCUCUCUUUCCCUUCCUCCCUCCCUUUCUUUCUUCCUCUCUCCCUCCCUCUCUCUCUUCCUCCCUCCCUCCCUUCCCUCCUUCCUUUCCUGUGAAGCGGCCAUCUGGCAUGGUGUCUGACUCCUGGAUCUGGGCUGACAGAGCAUAAGGAACGUAUUUUGCAAACGGGCUGUGAUGGCUCCUCUAUUAUUCCAGACGAGGCUGUCAGUGGGAGACCACAGCUACCGGCCAGUCAGGGCUGAUCAGCCCCAGGCUAUUUCUGUGACUCUGGUGUUUGAGUUUUGUUUUUCCUCUCUCCUGGGAAGAACUCAUUGAGAUUAUUUCUUUGGAAAAGACCAAGCACGUCACCCAGCUGCUCAAGGAACAUGUGGAAGCUGGCUGUCUCGGGUUCCCCCUUGUGGCCCAUGAGGGCUGAGGGCCACUGGGCUCUAAAGCUGGACUGUGGUUCUGUCUCCAGAGAGGCCAGCUCAGAAGGAGCCCUCUGUGGCCGCCACACAGCCCGAGCUUGAAUUCUGGCGUCUCCUUCGAGCAGUGAGUGACUCCUUGAGUAACGGUAAUAAGUGUGAACCGUGAGCGCUGGGGGAAGGUCUUCUGUCCCCCGGGUGAUGCCACUGGGGCACUUCCUCUUCUCUUUUACAGUCAGGGUAGAGCUAGAAGGAACCGCAGCAUCACUCUCCGAAUCCUCCAUCCACGGGGACCAGAGGCCUUGCCUCAAGCUGGGGCUGUGGAAGGGCUGAGACUGGUGAGGGGCCUUCACCACACCUACUCUGGGAAGGGCAGGGACAAGCUUCCCAACAGGCACUGCGCUGACAAGGCUGGGGCAAGGGCGUGUCCCCGACUGAGGCCAUGGACCAAAGCCAGCUCUUCCACGGCCCCCCUGCCAGGGGCAUCCAGGUUUGGUGUUUGUUUUGGGCCUUUGCCUGGUGAGGACGCCCUGCCAGCACCUCCUCAGGCCUCAGGGCGCACCUCCGCGCCAAAUGAAAGCAGCUCUGAGGGUGGGAAAAGGCAGGCCCCUUGCACAUCCGGGUCCUCUCUCUCAGCUCGGCAUGUGCCCACACACAGCCCACCCCCUGUCCCCACAGCAGACCCACUUUCUCUGGUGUGUCAGGCUUCCCAGGCACAGGGCCCCUUUCCAUAAGCGGACCAGCCCUGGGCUGCGUGCUGGGGCGAGCCGCACUCUCGCUGCUGGGCCCAGCGUGCCUUCCCCGGGCAGCUCUGGCCUGCGUGCCCGGGGCUUCCUGCAGAGAGUCUCCGGAAAGUGGCGUCCAGCUCCAAGGUUGAUUCUCCCCUGGAGGCGCCCUGACCUCUGCGCCCUUCUCACCUGAGUGGGAUACUUCUACCAGUUUACUCACACCUUGGGGGACUGGAGGGCAGGUUCCAGAAAAAGGAGGUUGGGACCCCCAAACCAACAUUGCCUCCUUCACCCUGUGGCCCAGCACAGCUCGACUUGCUUACAGCCACACACAGCAAGAGGGGACUUCACCGGCCCUGCACUCCCAGGCUCUACGAGACGUUGCCCAUUGGACAAAGGGAAGGCCCCACAUCUACACCUCAUGUUUUUAACACCGACUGAGCACCUUCUACGUGGCGAUCACAGGGCCAGGCAUCAGGAAUCAAGACAGAUCUUCGUCUAGAGACACUUGAGGCUGUCGUGGUGGCGGUGAUGAUCUAAGAGACCACAGGUGGGGCUGUGACCGGGACGGGAAGAGGAGGCCCUCCCCUGAGGGUCUGAAAAUCCUUCUCGUGAAGGGUGUGUCCGUCAAGAAGCAGAUGUGAAGGCAGCAGGGGGAGUUCCAGCCAUACCACCCGCAGUGGCCCACGGGAAAAUGGGGAGGUAAGCUCACCUACUCAGACCACGAAAGCACGGGCAGAAAGCUUCCCCUUAAUCUGUGGUCCUUAAACUUGAAUGUGAAAUCAGAAUCACCUGGAGACUUAUUAAACAGAUGGCUGGUUAGCUUCCGGUUCAGUGGCCCCGGCUUCGCUGUGCUAACAAGUUCCAAUGAUGCCGAUGAAGCCCCUGGCCAGGGACUCGUGUGCUGGGAACCACGGCUCCAGACCGAUCACAUAAGACGAUCUGGACCAUGGAAGUGAUGAGGGCAUGAGACCAAUUCCAUUAUAAUAGCCAUCUUUAUUUGUAAAAAUCCAGAUAUAAAAUGUAUUCUUUCAGUCUUUCCGAGUUUUCCUUUUUACAAAAACAACAAGGCACAUAAAAA
Molecule: long non-coding RNA, 2617 nt
Organism: Orcinus orca (killer whale)
Lineage: Eukaryota; Metazoa; Chordata; Mammalia; Artiodactyla; Delphinidae
Exons: 3
Source: RefSeq, a predicted model, not a curated record